Molecule: transfer RNA, 83 nt
Filed under: Synechococcus phage ACG-2014h
Lineage: Duplodnaviria; Heunggongvirae; Uroviricota; Caudoviricetes; Pantevenvirales; Kyanoviridae
Rfam family: tRNA
About the family: Transfer RNA (tRNA) molecules are approximately 80 nucleotides in length.
Source: Rfam by way of RNAcentral
GCGAGUAUGGCGGAAUCGGUAGACGCAUCAGACUUAAAAUCUGCUGACCACUGGUCGUGGGAGUUCAAGUCUCCCUAUUCGCA